ACUCCAUGAUGAACACAAAAUGACAAGCAUAUGGCUGAACUUAUCAAGUGAUGUCAUCUUACUACUGAGAAGU
Pongo abelii (Sumatran orangutan) is the source of this 73-nucleotide small nucleolar RNA. Its record names the gene SNORD27. It matches the Rfam family "Small nucleolar RNA SNORD27". Rfam says of the family: U27 is a member of the C/D class of snoRNA which contain the C (UGAUGA) and D (CUGA) box motifs. U27 is encoded within the U22 snoRNA host gene (UHG) in mammals and is thought to act as a 2'-O-ribose methylation guide for ribosomal RNA. This family also contains several related snoRNAs from yeast and plants. The record is from Ensembl. Lineage: Eukaryota; Metazoa; Chordata; Mammalia; Primates; Hominidae.